GGAAUUUUGCGCAAUGGGCGAAAGCCUGACGCAGCAACGCCGCGUGGAUGAUGAAGGCCUUUGGGUCGUAAAAUCCUGUCAAGUGGGAAGAACUCCCCGCCGCGCACAGCGGUCGGGGAGUGACUGUACCACUGGAGGAAGCCCCGGCUAACUCCGUGCCAGCAGCCGCGGUAAUACGGAGGGGGCGAGCGUUGUUCGGAAUCAUUGGGCGUAAAGGGCGCGUAGGCGGCUUUGUAAGUCGGUUGUGAAAUCCCGUGGCUCAACCAAGGAACUGCAACCGAAACUGCAGGGCUCGAGUCCGGGAGAGGGUAGUGGAAUUCCCAGUGUAGCGGUGAAAUGCGUAGAUAUUGGGAGGAACACCGGUGGCGAAGGCGGCUGCCUGGACCGGAACUGACGCUGAGGCGCGAAAGCUAGGGGAGCAAAC
This 424-nucleotide ribosomal RNA is filed under the name uncultured bacterium. RNAcentral's name for it is "bacterial SSU rRNA". It matches the Rfam family "Bacterial small subunit ribosomal RNA", at positions 358 to 773 of the family's 1533-position model. The record is from RNAcentral.